Bos indicus x Bos taurus (hybrid cattle) is the source of this 1436-nucleotide long non-coding RNA. The record is from Ensembl. Lineage: Eukaryota; Metazoa; Chordata; Mammalia; Artiodactyla; Bovidae.
CCCGACCAAAGUGCUGACAAAGAGGGAUCCUCCCAAUUACCCGGGUAUCUGUUCUAGUCUCCUAAUGUUCUAUCCUAAAAGGGGUUUUACGAAAAUGAAAUUUCCUGGUGUUUUCUUUGAGGUGGAGACAGCGAUGACCAUUUUCACUGGUUUCUUUAAAUAAGAAGUAGCCAUUAAACUUUUCCUACCGUUUCUUAUCUUAGUCUCUUUGUUCCAGGCCUGACCCAAACUGCGGGGAGCCUUAGGAGAUCUCCUUGAGGGAAGGGUCACCGGUUGUUGAAGCGUCUUGGAUAUUGAAUCCCAGAGCUGGUAAUGCCCUCAAAGUUCAAGCAAGGCCAGUGCUUUCAUUCUACAGAGAGGGCACGGAGGCGCAGAAACGUGACAAGUCACUGGCUGCAGACGCACAGCUGGUUGCUGGAUGCUAGGUUGAAGAGUUUGGAUUCCGUCCAUCAGAAGCAGAGAAUCAUUGAGGAGAGUCCAAUAGGUCUACAGAAAACUGCAGAGGAUGACGCUUGAGGAAGGCUUGAUGGGAUGGGCAGAACUUAGAGAAAGGAGCCUGCUGGCCAGAUCCCUGGGUAUCAUCAGGUGAGUAAAUUCUACCUGCCUCUCCACUCGCCGCUUCCAGUAUUGAUCCCAUUGGUCAUUGUAAAACAUGAGAAGAUUUUGCUUUUCAAAAGAGCUUCUAGAUACACAUAGCUCCCUAACAACAGAUCAGAUGAAACUGUAUUUUCAAAUCAUUCCUAUUCAUCAAAAUUGAGAACCAAACUUCGCAACUGGAGGAGAGUUUUCUGUGACUUGCUUUUAAGGAGCUUCCUUUCCAUGAAAGUUCCCAUAGUGGAGUAAGUUCUGAAAUUUGUACAUUUGACUUGAUCACAACCUCAAACUAAGCAUAACCUUUCCUUAUCAAGACGAAUUAAGACAAAUUGGUUCUAGAAUGAUUUAGCAACCCAGUGUCAAAUAGAAUGAGCAAGGAAAUGGUCCCUGAGACUGGCCAGAGUCAUCUUAAGAGCUUUUUCUCCUUCCUCUCAGGAUUUGUGCAUUUCAAUGCGACCAGGAUUAUAAUCCUAUUUACAGGUAAGGAAACUGACGGGCAGAGAAGUGGAGUCUAAAGCGUUUAUUAUUGUCACCCAGGGUUUGAGAGACAUGCCCCAGCACCACCAGGGUUCAUGUGCCGUAUAGCUCAGCUCCAAGGACAAUUUUGUCUUGCCAAAUUUUAGGACAUUUUACACUUAUUUUUACAUUUUACUCAGACUUUUUAUUUUUACUGUUUUCUUGACUAUGUAAGUAACAUACAAAUAUGUUGUUAAAAUUAAAACAAUGCAGAGAGAAGAAGGUUGCUUAAUUGUAAUCUUGCUGAGUGCUGAUUUGGUACUUGAUGUGUUUCUCUUGAUCAUGUGUCUUAAAGAUUAUCUUCUACCAGCACGGAUGAGUCUGUC